GACGAACGCUGGCGGCGUGCUUAACACAUGCAAGUCGAACGGAAAGGCCCUGCUUUUGUGGGGUGCUCGAGUGGCGAACGGGUGAGUAACACGUGUGUAACCUGCCCUUGACUUUGGGAUAACUUCAGGAAACUGGGGCUACUACCGUAUAGGAGCUCCUGCUGCAUGGUGGGGGUUGGAUAGUUUCGGCGGUUGGGGAUGGACGCGCGGCUUAUCAGCUUGUUGGUGGGGUAGUGGCUUACCAAGGCUUUGACGGGUAGCCGGCCUGAGAGGGUGACCGGCCACAUUGGGACUGAGAUACGGCCCAGACUCCUACGGGAGGCAGCAGUGGGGAAUAUUGCACAGUGGGCGGAAGCCGGAUGCAGCAACGCCGCGUGCGGGAUGACGGCCUUCGGGUUGUAAACCGCUUUCGCCUGUGACGAAGCGUGAGUGACGGUAAUGGGUAAAGAAGCACCGGCUAACUACGUG
Molecule: ribosomal RNA, 468 nt
Filed under: uncultured bacterium
Lineage: Bacteria
Description: partial 16S ribosomal RNA
Rfam family: Bacterial small subunit ribosomal RNA
Source: RNAcentral